RNAcentral lists this ribosomal RNA (503 nucleotides) under uncultured bacterium. RNAcentral describes it as "partial 16S ribosomal RNA". It matches the Rfam family "Bacterial small subunit ribosomal RNA", at positions 30 to 523 of the family's 1533-position model. The record is from RNAcentral.
AUUGAACGCUGGCGGCAGGCUUAACACAUGCAAGUCGAGCGGGGUGAUGGUGCUUGCACUAUCACUUAGCGGCGGACGGGUGAGUAAUGCCUAGGAAUCUGCCUAUUAGUGGGGGACAACAUCUCGAAAGGGAUGCUAAUACCGCAUACGUCCUACGGGAGAAAGCGGGGGAUCACUUGUGACCUUGCGCUAAUAGAUGAGCCUAAGUCGGAUUAGCUAGUUGGUGGGGUAAAGGCCUACCAAGGCGACGAUCUGUAGCGGGUCUGAGAGGAUGAUCCGCCACACUGGGACUGAGACACGGCCCAGACUCCUACGGGAGGCAGCAGUGGGGAAUAUUGGACAAUGGGGGGAACCCUGAUCCAGCCAUGCCGCGUGUGUGAAGAAGGCCUUAUGGUUGUAAAGCACUUUAAGCGAGGAGGAGGCUCUUUUGGUUAAUACCCAAGAUGAGUGGACGUUACUCGCAGAAUAAGCACCGGCUAACUCUGUGCCAGCCGCCGCUGUAA